UAAAAUGCAUUCUACUUUUUACAGAGAACAAUGUUUGUGCUUGUUGAAGAGAGGACAAAGCAAGAUACAUCUACUGGCAUGCCAAGAACGUCUUAUUUUCUUCUUAAGGGAGCAAGAGGAUUAAGGGAUACUGCAGCAGAAACCUUUCCUGAGAUCUACCUUCCUUGGCCUCAUCUGAAAUAUUUUUCCUGUUAUGCCAUUUUGCUUUGAAAAAUAAAAAGCACUGUAGCUUGAAUCA
RNAcentral lists this long non-coding RNA (238 nucleotides) under Zonotrichia albicollis (white-throated sparrow). RNAcentral's name for it is "lncRNA (ENSZALG00000014522.1)". The record is from RNAcentral. Lineage: Eukaryota; Metazoa; Chordata; Aves; Passeriformes; Passerellidae.